GUCUAGCAGGAAAGAUAAUUGUUCAUUUUACAGUUUGACCUCAGGUCUAAAGAGUCUGCUUGGGGCUGGCCUUGAAGAAGGAUGCAUCGUCCCUGCUUUCUGGCAAAGGAUUCCAGAUCUAAAAGCCUCUUAUAUGACCAUGAAUUUAGAUCUUGCCUAGAAAACAGCAAGAGUGCAUGAGGGAGCAGCACAUCCCAUCAGUCAUCUGCUAGCAAGAAUUGUCUCCUAAGAAAAUUGAUUUACACAGCAGGAUGUCAAAUGGAUGACAAAGAGAUGGGGUUUCGCUGUGUUGCGAAACCGGGCUGGUCUCAAACUGCUGGGCUCAGGCGAUCCUCCUGCCUCGGCCUCCAAAAGUGCUGGGAUUACAGGUGUGAGCCAUCGAGCUGGCCUGAAGUAAGUUUGCUAAGUUUCCACGGCUGAAACCCACAUCAUCUGGCUCCUAUAAAGAAAUCAAAAAGGUAGGCUAUGUAAUAUAUUGGCAAAGAGGAACAAGCGGUAAAUGAGUGAAGGGUUGUAGACCUUUAAUAGCUAAUAUUGCAGUAAUGCCACCUGUUAGGUCAGGAGAUGAGCACCUUACCUUAAGACGAGGACAACAUCUGGUUGCCUGUGAGAAGGGACAGGCAGGGUAUCAGGUGCUGCACAAAUGUUUAAUGAAUGAGUGAGAUAAGACAGGAGGUAGAAUGAGCAACCUGAGAGAGGGCCUGGUACCCUGUAAGGCGUUUUGAUUCAGCAGAACGAGUAAGGAGAAGCCCUUCCGGAGUGUAACACACCAGCACUAGACCAAGACACCUGGCUCACUGGUCAGCUGCAAAAACUUUCAUACUCAGAUUUUGUUUUUCUCAAUGAUGAGGUCUUAAUAAGGAACAACAAUUCUGCCUCCAAGCAACCCAC
Molecule: long non-coding RNA, 891 nt
Filed under: Homo sapiens (human)
Lineage: Eukaryota; Metazoa; Chordata; Mammalia; Primates; Hominidae
Description: HSALNT0101956
Source: RNAcentral